AUUUGAACAAUUUUCGUGGAUUGAAAACAAAAAGGAAAAGAAAGAAAACUAGAAAAGCUCAGGAGAGAUACCGCCGGAGUGGAAUCAAAAGGAUAGUAGUGUAGGGUUUGUGAAAGGUUGAAAAGGGAGAUCAGGGUGAGCCAUUGGAGGAGGAAGAAGGAGAAGGUGGGAAUAGAAAUGAGAAGAGAAAAAAGGGUUUAAAAGGAAG
RNAcentral lists this unclassified non-coding RNA (208 nucleotides) under Hevea brasiliensis (rubber tree). The record is from RNAcentral. Lineage: Eukaryota; Viridiplantae; Streptophyta; Magnoliopsida; Malpighiales; Euphorbiaceae.